Paramacrobiotus metropolitanus is the source of this 2289-nucleotide RNA transcript. It is a transcript of the gene named ADP-ribosylhydrolase ARH3-like, with no coding region annotated. Lineage: Eukaryota; Metazoa; Tardigrada; Eutardigrada; Parachela; Macrobiotidae. The record is from RefSeq and is a predicted model, not a curated record. The transcript is spliced from 3 exons.
GCAAUUAGUACACCGCAAUGCCGCAUAGAUACUUACCAGUAGUUACAGAACCACCUUUUUUAUUGCUGAUAAUUUUGGUUUGUUUUCGACUCUCAAGAAGUCAAUAAGAUUCAAAAUUAGUACCCUGGAUAAGCUAAAGUUUGCCUAAUCUCAACUUUUUUUUCUGCUUUUUGCAGUUCUUAUACACUAACUGCCAUCGCACAAUUUAUAACCAUGGCCCGAUCUUCACCCAUUAAGUUAAAUUUGAAAAACCUGCCUUUGUUACCGAGCAAUGUCCACAUCCCUAAAUAUACUCGGAAUCCUGAAGGCUCACCGACAAUCGUUCAUAUCAGCGUCGGCGGCUUCCAUCGAGCCCAUCAAGCUAUGUAUUUGGAUAGACUCUUGGAAACUGGUCAGUCGGAUAAAUGGAGAUUGGUCGGAGUGGGACUGCUACCCUUCGACAUUCCCGCUCGCGACGCCAUGCGCGCUCAAGACUGCUUAUACACUUUAGUGGAACGCGAUGCGUCCGGUGAUAAAGCCCACGUUAUUGCAGCGAUUUCCGGUUAUCUUUACGCGCCGGAUGAGUCCGAAGCUGUUAUACAAACCAUGGCGGAUCCAUCCUGCCGCAUUGUUACUUUGACGAUCACGGAAGGUGGUUAUUUUAUUCAUCAAGGCACGGGACAGUUUAAUGCUGUUGAUCCUCUCAUCCAGCAUGAUUUGCAGCAUCUAGAUGCGCCACGAUCGUCAUUUGGUUAUAUUCUGGCGGCUCUCCGUCGUCGGAAGAAGCAGGGACAACCACCGUUUACGAUUCUGUCGUGUGACAAUAUUCAGCAUAAUGGCGAUGUCGCGAAGAAUAUGAUUAUUGCUUUCGCCAAAUUAGCCGACGCCGAAGUAGGGAAAUGGCUGGAAAAGGAGGGUGCGUUCCCCAACUGUAUGGUGGACCGUAUUACGCCGGCCACGACCGAUGUGCACCGGAAGUUAGUGCGAGAAGAAUUCGGGAUUGAUGAUCUGUGGCCGGUUACGUGCGAGUCAUUUACACAAUGGGUUAUUGAAGAUCAUUUUCCGCUGGGCAGGCCGGCGUGGGAAAAAGCUGGCGCACAAAUGACAACGGAUGUUCUGCCGUACGAAAAGAUGAAAUUACGGACUGUCAAUUGUGGUCACCAAGCUUUAUGCUACAUUGGAAUGCUGUUAGGAUACAGAUAUUCGCCGGAAGCAAUGGCUCACCCGGACAUCCACAAACUUUUGCAGCGUUUGUUCGACGAGGAAGUAACGCAGCUGCUGGACCCGGUUCCCGAUAUUGACAUUACCCAAUACAAAUCCAUCGUUUUAGAGCGCUUUGCGAAUCCAGCAGUGAAUGAUCAACUAUUGCGCAUUGGUACAGAAGGUUCCGCCAGAAUUCCGAAAUUCGUUCUACCGUGCGUUCGAGAUGCUAUAAAGCGCGGGUCCCAGCUGACUUUCCUUUGUUUUACUAUUGCAUCCUGGAUAUAUUAUUUGGGCCAAGAAAACGAUGAGACUAAUGAAAAACUAGGGUUUAACGAUCCGAUGCUAGAAAAACUGCAGAAAGCGGCGACAUCCGGCAAAGCGGAUCCCCGUGCUGUACUGAGGAUUGCCGAAGUAUUUGGCGAUGACCUUCAUGUCAACCACAAUUUCUUAAAAUUAGUGGAGAAUAUUUUGCAAGACUUUUACCAGAGCGGUGCUAAACAAACACUACAAAAGUGGGUGGGCCGUUAGUUAAAGUGGUUUAUUUGUUCCACAUGUUGGCCAAUAAUUUAUGCUCAACCCUAGUGCCUUAUGACUAAGGCGUUAUACACCUGCGCUGCUGCGCAUAACUUUGCUUCCGUUAAUGACUGCAACAAUAAUCAUCAAAUAAAUGUUUUGUGUUUUCUUAAAAAUUAAUAAAUUCAAGCGAACUACUAUUACAACACAUUUCGUUAAAUAAAAGCACUGUACUUGUAGUUCGUAGAUCACUAUAUAUGCCGCAAUUAUUCGUAACGGUCUAUAAUCUGCUUGAUGUUGCGACUUUGACCUGGCUGUGACAGAGAUGUUCGUAUACAGAUACUUCAGUACUUCUAGUCAUCGUUCCUUACCUUUUUAUUCUGAUGUAUUUCGGGCUUGCCAGCCUGGUGACAUCAUAUUUAAUUACUUAUUCUCAUCGCUAUCUGCCUGACUUCAACUUAGCAAUGGCUACAGCGCUGAACUGCGCUCCCGCAUCAUCGUCCAAAGAGAGAUCCGAUGGACCAUCAGACAACAUUUUGUCCAAGUAUCGUGGAUGUUUGAUGGGGGCUUUGGCUGGAGAUUGUAUUGGAUACA